Molecule: ribosomal RNA, 253 nt
Filed under: uncultured bacterium
Lineage: Bacteria
Description: partial 16S ribosomal RNA
Rfam family: Bacterial small subunit ribosomal RNA
Source: RNAcentral
UACGUAGGGGGCUAGCGUUGUCCGGAAUCAUUGGGCGUAAAGAGCGUGUAGGCGGUCCGGUAAGUCCGCUGUGAAAGUCGGGGGCUCAACCCUCGAAUGCCGGUGGAUACUGUCGGGCUAGAGUGCGGAAGAGGCGAGUGGAAUUCCUGGUGUAGCGGUGAAAUGCGCAGAUAUCGGAAGGAACAUCAGUGGCGAAAGCGACUUCCUGGACCAAUACUGACGCUCAUGUGCGAAAGCGUGGGGAGCAAACAGG